UACGGAGGGGGCUAGCGUUGUCCGGAUUUAUUGGGCGUAAAGAGCGUGUAGGCGGCCAGGUAGGUCUGGUGUGAAAACUCGAGGCUUAACCUCGAGAUGUCAUCGGAAACCAUCUGGCUAGAGUCCGGAAGAGGAAAGUGGAAUUCCUGGUGUAGCGGUGAAAUGCGCAGAUAUCGGAAGGAACAUCAGUGGCGAAAGCGACUUCCUGGACCAGUACCGACGUUCAGGCACGAAAGCGUGGGGAGCAAACAGG
Molecule: ribosomal RNA, 253 nt
Filed under: uncultured bacterium
Lineage: Bacteria
Description: partial 16S ribosomal RNA
Rfam family: Bacterial small subunit ribosomal RNA
Source: RNAcentral